RNAcentral lists this ribosomal RNA (503 nucleotides) under uncultured bacterium. RNAcentral describes it as "partial 16S ribosomal RNA". It matches the Rfam family "Bacterial small subunit ribosomal RNA", at positions 28 to 523 of the family's 1533-position model. The record is from RNAcentral.
GAUGAACGCUAGCGAUAGGCCUAACACAUGCAAGUCGAGGGGCAUCACGGAGUAGCAAUACUUUGGUGGCGACCGGCGCACGGGUGAGUAACGCGUAUGCAAUCUACCUACAACAGGGGGAUAACCCGGAGAAAUCCGGACUAAUACCGCACAACACAGGGGUCCCGCAUGGGAAUAUUUGUUAAAGAUUUAUCGGUUGUAGAUGAGCAUGCGUUCCAUUAGGUAGUUGGUGAGGUGACGGCCCACCAAGCCUGCGAUGGAUAGGGGAACUGAGAGGUUUGUCCCCCACACUGGAACUGAGACACGGACCAGACUCCUACGGGAGGCAGCAGUGAGGAAUAUUGGUCAAUGGGCGAGAGCCUGAACCAGCCAAAUCGCGUGAAGGAAGACUGCCUUAUGGGUUGUAAACUUCUUUUGUACAGGAAUAAAAAUAGGGACGUGUCCUUCAUUGCACGUACUGUACGAAUAAGCAUCGGCUAACUCCGUGCCAGCCGCCGCCGUAA